This 373-nucleotide ribosomal RNA is filed under the name uncultured bacterium. RNAcentral describes it as "bacterial SSU rRNA". It matches the Rfam family "Bacterial small subunit ribosomal RNA", at positions 523 to 898 of the family's 1533-position model. The record is from RNAcentral.
AUACGGAGGGUGCAAGCGUUAUCCGGAUUCACUGGGUUUAAAGGGUGCGUAGGUGGGCAGGUAAGUCAGUGGUGAAAUCUCCGGGCUUAACCCGGAAACUGCCGUUGAUACUAUUUGUCUUGAAUAUAGUGGAGGUGAGCGGAAUAUGUCAUGUAGCGGUGAAAUGCUUAGAUAUGACAUAGAACAUCGAUUGCGAAGGCAGCUCGCUACACUAUUAUUGACACUGAGGCACGAAAGCGUGGGGAUCAAACAGGAUUAGAUACCCUGGUAGUCCACGCCCUAAACGAUGGAUACUCGACAUCAGCGAUACACGGUUGGUGUCUGAGCGAAAGCAUUAAGUAUCCCACCUGGGAAGUACGACCGCAAGGUUGAA